CGUCUCCCAUCCUUUACACGGCAUCUAACGAGCAAACAUAUUCACCGAAUAGAAUUGACAAGAGUAAUCAUUGGGUAACCCGCACUGCUCUGAGCAACAGCUUUGCCUCCUCGCUCCCCACCGCCGCACCGUUGCCGCCAAAUAGCGAGGGCUUCCCUCUCUCUGUUCAGCCUUUUCGCCACGUUGGUGCUCUCGCUCUGUCCACUUCCCCCACCGCCACACCUCUUCGGCUGCGUUUCUUCCUCUUUUCAUCCCAGCAGUGAGUGUUUUCAUUUUAAAUGUGGACACGUUCUUGACUGUGACGAGGUGGUCUGCCAACUUAGAGGUUGCGGAGUCUCUUUUUUGGUUUUGGGCUGUCUCUUCAUCGCAGAAUGGCUCACCGUCCCGAUGACUCGAAAUAUGCCCUGUUCUUUACAUGCGUACUGAGCCACCUCCCCAUGGUCGCCGUUGUGGCCUUUCUUGUGCGACGCGAUUUGCGCUUUGAGGGAGUGGUGGGGGCGUACUCCGUUACCGUUUCGUUUAUGUACCACACGUGCGAGUGCUUUGAGACGAGCCUUUUCAUGUCCGAAGGGCGCUGGCACCGACUCGACAACAUUGGCGCAAUCGUAUCUGUCGGGUGCUCCUGCAUCCAACUAGCCUGCUUCGAAAACCGUAUCCUUCUGGAGUACUUGCAGUACAUCAUCCUGUUCAUUGUCAUUAUCUUGCAGGAGGCCGCUCCUUGGGACGUCCGCUACACUAUUGUGCCCGUAGCCGUAUGCAUUGCUGUGCCAAUAGUGUCGCAUCUCCUGAAUCCCCGCCGUCGCCACGGGUUUGUUCUACCGCGCGUCCUCAAUGGUCUGGUAGCGCUAGUUCUCGGUGGCAUAUUUUUUGCCAUGGGACUUGAUGAAUCGAACGACCCCGUCCGGAUAUACCACGGAUUCUUUCACAUUUGCAUUACGAUCACGAUUUUCUUUUUCUUUUACGCCCUGCGCCCCUCAGCGGAGCGGAAGCGGAGAUCGUUGCACUUGCCAAGCUGCGAUGACGCGGUUGGCGUCAUGGUGAACCUUUGAAGUGCCCGGUCCGCACCAGCGGCUGGCGGUAAUGACCCAGGAAAUGCUCGGUGAAACGUUGGGCGUUGUGUCGCGGACUUGAGGGUAGUACCGCUGUCUGAGCACCUUAGUGAAUACAGUCGUCUUGAUUGGCUUUCAACAAGCAGAUAAGGCUCCUAGAGGUGACACACAUAGGCACACACGCCAACACGCAAAAGAAAACAAUGUAUCAUGAUGCGGAAGUUUCCCUUGGAGAGAAAGGCCACCCCUGCUCUCCCAUGACUAGCUACUGUUGGCUUUCCUUGCCACACUACCGUAUACGCCGCCGUCCUUCCCCUCCUUCCCCAUGUACUAUUCCCCGCACCGUCUCCUCCUGGCCAUGCAGUAAAGCAAACCAAGGAAACGUAGGUUGUGUUCAAGGUGGCAAGUACGCGAUAUGGCAGUGUGCGCAUCGGCAUUGGC
RNAcentral lists this unclassified non-coding RNA (1490 nucleotides) under Leishmania donovani. Its description in RNAcentral is "gene:LdHU3.17.0050(CDS-product:Protein_of_unknown _function_(DUF3522)_putative)". Lineage: Eukaryota; Euglenozoa; Kinetoplastea; Trypanosomatida; Trypanosomatidae. The record is from RNAcentral.